GUGGAGGCGGCGGAGGGUGGUGGUGAAGCGCUAGUCGUUAGCUUCCCCUCAACCCAUUGCGCUUGGCUAAAGUCUCUACUUUUUGUACGACAACUAAGACCAACGCCUGCCGCACCCUGGUGCCCAUGCCCAAGACCAAAGCACCUCAUCACACUG
Molecule: long non-coding RNA, 156 nt
Organism: Ixodes scapularis (black-legged tick)
Lineage: Eukaryota; Metazoa; Arthropoda; Arachnida; Ixodida; Ixodidae
Exons: 2
Source: RefSeq, a predicted model, not a curated record